This 105-nucleotide small nuclear RNA is filed under the name Phytophthora infestans T30-4. Lineage: Eukaryota; Oomycota; Peronosporomycetes; Peronosporales; Peronosporaceae. The record is from RNAcentral.
AACCACUUCGGUGGUCAUCCGUAAAAAUUUGAACGAUACAGAGAAGAUUAGCAUGGCCCCUGCGCAAGGAUGACACGCAUAAAUCGAGAAGUAUCGCACUUUUUG